RNAcentral lists this transfer RNA (88 nucleotides) under Betaproteobacteria bacterium. RNAcentral's name for it is "tRNA-Leu". It matches the Rfam family "tRNA". Rfam says of the family: Transfer RNA (tRNA) molecules are approximately 80 nucleotides in length. Their secondary structure includes four short double-helical elements and three loops (D, anti-codon, and T loops). Further hydrogen bonds mediate the characteristic L-shaped molecular structure. tRNAs have two regions of fundamental functional importance: the anti-codon, which is responsible for specific mRNA codon recognition, and the 3' end, to which the tRNAs corresponding amino acid is attached (by aminoacyl-tRNA synthetases). tRNAs cope with the degeneracy of the genetic code in two manners: having more than one tRNA (with a specific anti-codon) for a particular amino acid; and 'wobble' base-pairing, i.e. permitting non-standard base-pairing at the 3rd anti-codon position. Lineage: Bacteria; Pseudomonadati; Pseudomonadota; Betaproteobacteria. The record is from RNAcentral.
GCCCGGAUGGUGAAAUUGGUAGACACAAGGGACUUAAAAUCCCUCGACCUAAAAAGUCGUGCCGGUUCGAGUCCGGCUCCGGGCACCA